UACGUAGGAUGCAAGCGUUGUUCGGAAUUACUGGGCGUAAAGAGUACGUAGGCGGUUUGACAAGUCUGAUAUUAAAGACUGGGGCUUAACCCCAGGACUGUAUCGGAAACUGUCAGACUAGAGGACAAUAGAGGAAGUCGGAAUUCUCAGUGUAGCGGUGAAAUGCGUAGAUAUUGGGAAGAACACCAGUGGCGAAAGCGGACUUCUGGGUUGUUACUGACGCUGAGGUACGAAAGCGUGGGGAGCAAACGGG
This 253-nucleotide ribosomal RNA is filed under the name uncultured bacterium. Its description in RNAcentral is "partial 16S ribosomal RNA". It matches the Rfam family "Bacterial small subunit ribosomal RNA", at positions 524 to 776 of the family's 1533-position model. The record is from RNAcentral.